UACUACAGCCAUGCCACCCUGAAUGUGCCCGAUCUUGUCUGAUCUCAGAAGCUAGGCAGGGUCGGGCCUGGUUAGUACUUGGAUGGGAGACCACCUAGGAAGACCAGGUGCUGUAGGCA
RNAcentral lists this ribosomal RNA (119 nucleotides) under Pteropus alecto (black flying fox). RNAcentral also lists the same sequence under 1 other name. The record is from RNAcentral. Lineage: Eukaryota; Metazoa; Chordata; Mammalia; Chiroptera; Pteropodidae.